UCGCUGACGAGUGGCGGACGGGUGAGUAAUGCUUGGGAACUUGCCUUUGCGAGGGGGAUAACAGUUGGAAACGACUGCUAAUACCGCAUAACGUCUACGGACCAAACGGGGCUUCGGCUCCGGCGCAAAGAGAGGCCCAAGUGAGAUUAGCUAGUUGGUAAGGUAAAGGCUUACCAAGGCAACGAUCUCUAGCUGUUCUGAGAGGAAGAUCAGCCACACUGGAACUGAGACACGGUCCAGACUCCUACGGGAGGCAGCAGUGGGGAAUAUUGCACAAUGGGGGAAACCCUGAUGCAGCCAUGCCGCGUGUGUGAAGAAGGCCUUCGGGUUGUAAAGCACUUUCAGUUGUGAGGAAAAGUUAGUAGUUAAUACCUGCUAGCCGUGACGUUAACAACAGAAGAAGCACCGGCUAACUCCGUGCCAGCAGCCGCGGUAAUACGGAGGGUGCGAGCGUUAAUCGGAAUUACUGGGCGUAAAGCGCACGCAGGCGGUUUGUUAAGCUAGAUGUGAAAGCCCCGGGCUCAACCUGGGAUGGUCAUUUAGAACUGGCAGACUAGAGUCUUGGAGAGGGGAGUGGAAUUCCAGGUGUAGCGGUGAAAUGCGUAGAUAUCUGGAGGAACAUCAGUGGCGAAGGCGACUCCCUGGCCAAAGACUGACGCUCAUGUGCGAAAGUGUGGGUAGCGAACAGGAUUAGAUACCCUGGUAGUCCACACCGUAAACGCUGUCUACUAGCUGUUUGUGACUUUAAGUCGUGAGUAGCGAAGCUAACGCGAUAAGUAGACCGCCUGGGGAGUACGGCCGCAAGGUUAAAACUCAAAUGAAUUGACGGGGGCC
Molecule: ribosomal RNA, 834 nt
Filed under: metagenome
Description: bacterial SSU rRNA
Rfam family: Bacterial small subunit ribosomal RNA
Source: RNAcentral